Loktanella sp. 3ANDIMAR09 is the source of this 115-nucleotide ribosomal RNA. Lineage: Bacteria; Pseudomonadati; Pseudomonadota; Alphaproteobacteria; Rhodobacterales; Roseobacteraceae. The record is from Rfam.
UGUGGUGAUCAUAGCGUGAGCAAAACACCCGAUCCCAUCCCGAACUCGGCCGUUAAGUGCCACUGCGCUGAUGGUACUGCGUCUCAAGACGUGGGAGAGUAAGUCAUCGCCACAC